RNAcentral lists this ribosomal RNA (206 nucleotides) under Enterobacter hormaechei. RNAcentral's name for it is "partial 23S ribosomal RNA". It matches the Rfam family "Bacterial large subunit ribosomal RNA", at positions 2111 to 2316 of the family's 2925-position model. Lineage: Bacteria; Pseudomonadati; Pseudomonadota; Gammaproteobacteria; Enterobacterales; Enterobacteriaceae. RNAcentral also lists the same sequence under 1 other name. The record is from RNAcentral.
UUGACACUGAACACUGGUCCUUGAUGUGUAGGAUAGGUGGGAGGCUUUGAAGCGUGGACGCCAGUCUGCGUGGAGCCAACCUUGAAAUACCACCCUUUAAUGGCUGGUGUUCUAACGUAGACCCGUAAUCCGGGUUGCGGACAGUGUCUGGUGGGUAGUUUGACUGGGGCGGUCUCCUCCCAAAGAGUAACGGAGGAGCACGAAGG